This 252-nucleotide ribosomal RNA is filed under the name uncultured bacterium. Its description in RNAcentral is "partial 16S ribosomal RNA". It matches the Rfam family "Bacterial small subunit ribosomal RNA", at positions 524 to 776 of the family's 1533-position model. The record is from RNAcentral.
UACGUAGGGUCCGAGCGUUGUCCGGAAUCAUUGGGCGUAAAGGGUGCGUAGGCGGAUAAGCAAGUUAGAAGUGAAAUCCUAUAGCUCAACUAUAGUAAGCUUUUAAAACUGCUAAUCUUGAGGUAUGGAAGGGAAAGUGGAACUCCUAGUGUAGCGGUGAAAUGCGUAGAUAUUAGGAGGAACACCAGUGGCGAAGGCGGCUUUCUGGCCAUAAACUGACGCUGAGGUACGAAAGCGUGGGUAGCAAACAGG